CCUACGGGGGGCAGCAGUGAGGAAUAUUGGUCAAUGGACGAGAGUCUGAACCAGCCAAGUAGCGUGAAGGAUGACUGCCCUAUGGGUUGUAAACUGCUUUUAUAGGGGAAUAAAAUGUUCCACGUGUGGGAUUUUGUAUGUACCAUAUGAAUAAGGAUCGGCUAACUCCGUGCAAGCAGCCGCGGUAAUACGGAGGAUCCGAGCGUUAUCCGGAUUUAUUGGGGGUAAAGGGAGCGUAGGUGGAUUGUUAAGUCAGUUGUGAAAGUUUGCGGCUCAACCGUAAAAUUGCCGUUGAAACUGGCAGUCUUGAGUACAGUCGAGGUGGGCGGAAUUCGUUGUGUAGCGGUGACAUGCUU
RNAcentral lists this ribosomal RNA (356 nucleotides) under uncultured bacterium. RNAcentral describes it as "partial 16S ribosomal RNA". It matches the Rfam family "Bacterial small subunit ribosomal RNA", at positions 338 to 691 of the family's 1533-position model. The record is from RNAcentral.